GUAGUCAUAUGCUUGUCUCAAAGAUUAAGCCAUGCAUGUCUAAGUAUAAGCAACUUUAUACUGUGAAACUGCGAAUGGCUCAUUAAAUCAGUUAUAGUUUAUUUGAUUAUAUUACCUACUUGGAUAACCGUGGUAAUUCUAGAGCUAAUACAUGCUAAAAAUCCCGACUUCUGGAAGGGAUGUAUUUAUUAGAUAAAAAACCAACAGAGGUUUAUGCCUCUUUUUUUGGUGAUUCAUAAUAACUUUUCGAAUCGCAUGGCCUUGAGCUGGCGAUGUUUCAUUCAAAUUUCUGCCCUAUCAACUUUCGAUGGUAGUAUAGAGGACUACCAUGGUGGCAACGGGUAACGGGGAAUG
This 354-nucleotide ribosomal RNA is filed under the name uncultured fungus. Its description in RNAcentral is "SSU rRNA". It matches the Rfam family "Eukaryotic small subunit ribosomal RNA", at positions 20 to 371 of the family's 1831-position model. The record is from RNAcentral. Lineage: Eukaryota; Fungi.